UACGUAGGGUGCGAGCGUUAAUCGGAAUUACUGGGCGUAAAGGGUGCGCAGGCGGUUAUAUAAGACAGAUGUGAAAUCCCCGGGCUCAACCUGGGAACUGCGUUUGUGACUGUAUGACUAGAGUACGGUAGAGAGGGGUGGAAUUCCUGGUGUAGCAGUGAAAUGCGUAGAUAUCAGGAGGAACAUCGAUGGCGAAGGCAGAUCUCUGGGCCGUAACUGACGCUGAGGAGCGGAAAAGCAUGGGGGAGCGAACAGG
This 256-nucleotide ribosomal RNA is filed under the name uncultured bacterium. Its description in RNAcentral is "partial 16S ribosomal RNA". It matches the Rfam family "Bacterial small subunit ribosomal RNA", at positions 524 to 776 of the family's 1533-position model. The record is from RNAcentral.